RNAcentral lists this ribosomal RNA (406 nucleotides) under uncultured bacterium. RNAcentral describes it as "partial 16S ribosomal RNA". It matches the Rfam family "Bacterial small subunit ribosomal RNA", at positions 29 to 526 of the family's 1533-position model. The record is from RNAcentral.
AUUGAACGCUGGCGGCAGGCCUAACACAUGCAAGUCGAGCGAGCGGCGGACGGGUGAGUAAUGUCUGGGAAACUGCCUGCUGGAGGGGGAUAACUACUGGAAACGGUAUCUAAUACCGCAUACCAUCAGAUGUGCCCAGAUGGGAUUAGCUAGUAGGUGGGGUAAGGGCUCACCUAGGCGCCGAUCCCUAGCUGUUCUGAGAGGAUGACCAGCCACACUGGAACGGAGACACGGUCCAGCCUCCUACGGGAGGCAGCAGUGGGGAAGAGUGCACAGUGGGCGCAAGCCGGAUGCAGCCAUGCCGCGUGUGUGAAGAGGGCCUUCGGGUUGUAAAGCACUUUCAGCGGGGAGGCGGUACCCGCAGAAGAAGCACCGGCUAACUCCGUGCCAGCAGCCGCGGUAAUUC